RNAcentral lists this ribosomal RNA (253 nucleotides) under uncultured bacterium. RNAcentral describes it as "partial 16S ribosomal RNA". It matches the Rfam family "Bacterial small subunit ribosomal RNA", at positions 524 to 776 of the family's 1533-position model. The record is from RNAcentral.
UACGUAGGGUGCGAGCGUUGUCCGGAAUUAUUGGGCGUAAAGGGCUCGUAGGCGGUUUGUCGCGUCGGGAGUGAAAACGCCGUGCUUAACGCGGCGCUUGCUUUCGAUACGGGCAGACUAGAGGUAUGCAGGGGAGAACGGAAUUCCUGGUGUAGCGGUGAAAUGCGCAGAUAUCAGGAGGAACACCGGUGGCGAAGGCGGUUCUCUGGGCAUUACCUGACGCUGAGGAGCGAAAGUGUGGGGAGCGAACAGG